GCUCUUGUUCUUCUUCUUCUUGUUCCUCUUCUGGAACAUAGCUAGCCAGAAACUCAACAUAGUCAGCAUCAUCUUCAUUCUCUUCAGCCUCAGAAUCUGAUGAGAUGAUUAUUAUCUCAGCGUCUUGUGGUUUCUUGUUGUCUUCUUUAUUCUUCUCAUCUUCUUCGCGUUUUUCGUCUUCUUUCCUUCUCUUAAACUCUGCGAUGCGUAAACUAAAUCUUUUCAUUAUUCCUAAUUUCUCUUGCUUCACUUGUUUAUUCUUGUUU
RNAcentral lists this long non-coding RNA (266 nucleotides) under Trifolium pratense (red clover). RNAcentral describes it as "long non-coding RNA (TPRA_LNC008630)". The record is from RNAcentral. Lineage: Eukaryota; Viridiplantae; Streptophyta; Magnoliopsida; Fabales; Fabaceae.